UUCCGGUUGAUCCUGCCGGAGGCUACCGCUAUUGGAGUUCGAUUAAGCCAUGCGAGUCGCGAGUCUUAGGGACUCGGCGUACCGCUCAGUAACACGUGGGUAACCUGCCCUAUGCUGGGGGAUAACCUCGGGAAACUGAGAAUAAUACCCCAUAGUUCACCACGCCUGGAACGGUGGGUGGAUCAAAGCUCCGGCGGCAUAGGAUGGGCCUGCGGCGUAUCAGGUUGUAGGGGGUGUAAUGUACCCUCUAGCCCUCUACGCGUACGGGUGUUGAGAGACAUCGCCCGGAGAUGGAUUCUGAGACACGAAUCCAGACCCCACGGGGUGCAGCAGGCGCGAAAACUUGGCAAUGCGAGAAAUCGUGACCAGGGAACUCCAAGUGCAUCGGGUAAGACCGAUGCUUUUCUUGACUCUUCAAAGGUCUUGGAAUAAGGGGUGGGUAAGGACGGUGCCAGCCGCCGCGGUAAUACCGGCGCCCCAAGUGGUAGUCGCUUUUAUUGGGCCUAAAACGUCCGUAGCCGGUCUGGUACAUUCGUGGGUAAAUCAACCAGCUCAACUGGUUGAAUUCUGCGAGCACGGCCAGACUUGGGACCGGGAGAGGUGUGGGGUACUCUCAGGGUAGGGGUAAAAUCCUGUCAUCCUGAGAGGACCACCUGUUGCGAAGGCGCCACACUAGAACGGAUCCGACGGUCAGGGACGAAGCCUAGGGGCACGAACCGGAUUAGAUACCCGGGUAGUCCUAGGUGUAAACGCUGUGGACUUGAUGUUGGGGGCGCUCCGAGCGCACUCAGUGUCGAAGCGAAGGUGAUAAGUCCACUGCCUGGGGAGUACGGUCGCAAGGCUGAAACUUAAAGGAAUUGGCGGGGGAGCACCGCAACCUGAGGAUUGUGCGGUUUAAUUGGAUUCAACGCCGG
RNAcentral lists this ribosomal RNA (914 nucleotides) under uncultured marine archaeon. Its description in RNAcentral is "bacterial SSU rRNA". It matches the Rfam family "Archaeal small subunit ribosomal RNA", at positions 1 to 921 of the family's 1478-position model. The record is from RNAcentral.